GGCCGCUGCAUCUGAAACUGGGUAUCUAGAGUGCGGGAGAGGAAAGUGGAAUUCCUAGUGUAGCGGUGAAAUGCGUAGAGAUUGGAAGAACACCAGUGGCGAAGGCGACUUUCUGGACUGUAACUGACGCUGAGAUACGAAAGCGUGGGGAGCAAACAGGAUUAGAUACCUGGUAGUCCACGCCGUAAACGAUGAAUAAUAGGUGUCGGGGGGUACCACCCUCGGUGCCGCAGCAAACGCAAUAAGUAUUCCGCCUGGGGAGUACGGUCGCAAGAUUAAAACUCAAAGGAAUUGACGGGGACCCGCACAAGCAGCGGAGCAUGUGGUUUAAUUCGAAGCAACGCGAAGAACCUUACCUAGACUUGACAUCUCCUGAAUUACUCGUAACAGAGGAAGCCCUUCGGGGCAGGAAGACAGGUGGUGCAUGGUUGUCGUCAGCUCGUGUCGUGAGAUGUUGGGUUAAGUCCCGCAACGAGCGCAACCCUGAUCGUUGGUUGCUACCAUUAAGCUGAGCACUCCAGCGAGACCUCCUGGGUUAAUCAGGAGGAAGGUGCGGUCGACGUCAAAUCAUCAUUCCCCUCAGGUCUAGGGCUACUCACGUGCUACAAUGGCCGGUACCACGCCAAGCACACCCUAGAGCGGGAAUCCAUCUCAAAACCCAAUCCCACAUGCGGAGGCAUCCUGUAACUAGCCCUCAUGAGAGGCAUAAAGGUAUCCAUCGUGAGUCCGAAUGUCGCGGCGAAUACCCUGCCGGGUGGCAGCACUCCGCCCGUCACUCCCUGAGAGCCCGUAACACCCGAAGCCUGUGAGGUAACCGCAAGGAGCCAGCAGUCGAAGGCAGGACUCCAGCGGGCGUUAUGUGGCAGCAUCGUAGUCG
RNAcentral lists this ribosomal RNA (877 nucleotides) under uncultured bacterium. Its description in RNAcentral is "bacterial SSU rRNA". It matches the Rfam family "Bacterial small subunit ribosomal RNA", at positions 616 to 1502 of the family's 1533-position model. The record is from RNAcentral.